GACGAACGCUGGCGGCGUGCUUAACACAUGCAAGUCGAACGAAGAGCGAUGGAAGCUUGCUUCUAUCAAUCUUAGUGGCGCAUGGGUGAGUAACGCGUAAUCAACCUGCCCUUCAGAGGGGGACAACAGUUGGAAACGACUGCUAAUACCGCAUACGAUCUAAUCUCGGCAUCGAGGAUAGAUGAAAGGUGGCCUCUACAUGUAAGCUAUCACUGAAGGAGGGGAUUGCGUCUGAUUAGCUAGUUGGAGGGGUAACGGCCCACCAAGGCGAUGAUCAGUAGCCGGUCUGAGAGGAUGAACGGCCACAUUGGGACUGAGACACGGCCCAGACUCCUACGGGAGGCAGCAGUGGGGAAUCUUCCGCAAUGGACGAAAGUCUGACGGAGCAACGCCGCGUGAGUGAUGACGGCCUUCGGGUUGUAAAGCUCUGUUAAUCGGGACGAAAGGCCUUCUUGCGAAUAGUGAGAAGGAUUGACGGUACCGGAAUAGAAAGCCACGGCUAACUACGUG
Molecule: ribosomal RNA, 510 nt
Filed under: uncultured bacterium
Lineage: Bacteria
Description: partial 16S ribosomal RNA
Rfam family: Bacterial small subunit ribosomal RNA
Source: RNAcentral